GUCAGAGGCGAUGAAAGACGUAGUAACUUGCGAUAAGCCCAGAUUAGGUAGUAACAACCAUUUGAGUCUGGGAUUUCUGAAUGGGGAAACCCACUUACAUAAGUAAGUAUCCUUACCUGAAUACAUAGGGUAAGGAGGCGAACCGGGGGAACUGAAACAUCUAAGUACCCCGAGGAAAAGAAAUCAACCGAGAUUCCGAAAGUAGCGGCGAGCGAAA
This 217-nucleotide ribosomal RNA is filed under the name Vibrio parahaemolyticus. RNAcentral describes it as "partial 23S ribosomal RNA". It matches the Rfam family "Bacterial large subunit ribosomal RNA", at positions 40 to 258 of the family's 2925-position model. Lineage: Bacteria; Pseudomonadati; Pseudomonadota; Gammaproteobacteria; Vibrionales; Vibrionaceae. The record is from RNAcentral.